This 466-nucleotide ribosomal RNA is filed under the name uncultured bacterium. RNAcentral describes it as "bacterial SSU rRNA". It matches the Rfam family "Bacterial small subunit ribosomal RNA", at positions 28 to 507 of the family's 1533-position model. The record is from RNAcentral.
GACGAACGCUGGCGGCGCGCCUAACACAUGCAAGUCGAACGGAGCCUAGAGAGCUUGCUUUUUAAGCUUAGUGGCGAACGGGUGAGUAACGCGUGAGUAACCUGCCCUAGAGUGGGGGACAACAGUUGGAAACGACUGCUAAUACCGCAUAAGCCCACGGUGCCGCAUGACACUGAGGGAAAAGGAUUUAUUCGCUUUAGGAUGGACUCGCGUCCAAUUAGCUAGUUGGUGAGGUAACGGCCCACCAAGGCGACGAUUGGUAGCCGGACUGAGAGGUUGAACGGCCACAUUGGGACUGAGACACGGCCCAGACUCCUACGGGAGGCAGCAGUGGGGGAUAUUGCACAAUGGGGGAAACCCUGAUGCAGCGACGCCGCGUGGAGGAAGAGGGUUUUCGGAUUGUAAACUCCUGUCGUUAGGGACGAUAAUGACGGUACCUAACAAGAAAGCACCGGCUAACUACGUG